GGUGUUCUACCCAGACUGGUUAUGACCAGAGCCUCCUUGCAACCCACUACUAUCUCAUUGCUCCUAACGUCCACAACCAGACUGCUGUCAGCCAGACGGUGACCAUCAGCUCGGUGUGGACAUCAUUGGCUGCAGGGCUGCUGCAGAGUGUUGACCACCAGAGCAUCCCCAGCCUCCCUGCCUCAGAGGUGCUCCAGAAACUGCUUUGGCCCCCGCAGCGCGACUGGAAGCAUCAUCUCCAGGCUGAAUCUCGCCCGGUUUUUAAACAGAAACAACCUUCACUCAUGCAGGCGAGCAUCAUUUGCAAAAUGAUAUCCGUUCAUAGUUGCAAGCCUGAAAAUGAAUAUCACAUGACUAUUCAUGCACGCUGGGGAUGUGGGUUCCGGUGUUGUUGUUGGUUGCAUGUUGGUUCCUUAGUUACAGAAACUACAACAGAGUACUACAGUAAGCUUUGAUCAUUAAAGGUGAUUGACCCUUAAAAUUUUCCUCUUUAAACUCAAACAGACAUAUUUGGAAAGUUUAUGUGGCGAUAUGUAGAGAAGUUUAAGAAUUUUGAUUUUUUUAAAUGGGCA
This is a long non-coding RNA of Gasterosteus aculeatus aculeatus (three-spined stickleback), 572 nucleotides long. The record is from Ensembl. NCBI's taxonomy places the organism in Eukaryota, Metazoa, Chordata, Actinopteri, Perciformes, Gasterosteidae.